UCCGGUUUGUCACCGGCAGUCUCGCGUGAGUCCCCAACUUAAUGCUGGCAACACGCGACAAGGGUUGCGCUCGUUGCGGGACUUAACCCAACAUCUCACGACACGAGCUGACGACAGCCAUGCAGCACCUGUGCUAGAGCUCCGAAGAGGGGCUCCGCUUUCACGGAGCUUUCUCUAGCAUGUCAAGCCCAGGUAAGGUUCUUCGCGUUGCUUCGAAUUAAGCAACAUGCUCCGCCGCUUGUGCGGGUCCCCGUCAAUUCCUUUGAGUUUUAGCCUUGCGGCCGUACUCCCCUGGCGGGGCACUUAAUGCGUUAGCUACGGCACGGAAGGCGUUGAUAACCUCCCACACCUAGUGCCCAACGUUUAGGGCGUGGACUAC
This 379-nucleotide unclassified non-coding RNA is filed under the name uncultured bacterium. Its description in RNAcentral is "contains 16S-23S intergenic spacer region". The record is from RNAcentral.